GAUUUCUGGUUCGGUGUAGCCGGCCCGCCACGGUUGCCGUCGGUGAGUGCCGGACUGCUGGCCGAGCCAUCCUUCUAGUCCUGCCGGCACGAGCUCUUCAUUGCAGUUCGUGCUAGUUGCAGCUAGAUCGUUUACUUUGAAAAAAUUAGAGUGUUUAAAGCAGGCAGUUGUCAGCUAUGAAUACAUUAGCAUGGAAUAAUAAGUUAGGACUUUGGUUCUAUUUUGUUGGUUUCUAUAACUGAAGUAAUGAUUGAUAGGGAUAGUUGGGGGUGCUAGUAUUGGCCGGCCAGAGGUGAAAUUCUUGGAUUCGGUCAAGACUAACUUAUGCGAAAGCAUU
RNAcentral lists this ribosomal RNA (337 nucleotides) under Rhogostoma sp. RNAcentral's name for it is "SSU rRNA". The stretch from base 119 to 337 matches the Rfam family "Eukaryotic small subunit ribosomal RNA", at positions 739 to 955 of the family's 1831-position model. Lineage: Eukaryota; Cercozoa; Thecofilosea; Cryomonadida; Rhogostomidae. The record is from RNAcentral.